This 350-nucleotide ribosomal RNA is filed under the name uncultured eukaryote. RNAcentral's name for it is "SSU rRNA". It matches the Rfam family "Eukaryotic small subunit ribosomal RNA", at positions 567 to 913 of the family's 1831-position model. The record is from RNAcentral.
CCAGCAGCUGCGGUAAUUCCAGCUCCAAUAGCGUAUAUUAAAGUUGCUGCAGUUAAAAAGCUCGUAGUUGGAUUUCUGGCCUGAAACAUUUUGUCGGCCACGGUUUCGUGUGUUAGUGCAUUAUGUUCUGGCCAUCCUUCCAAUCGCUAUUUACCUUUCUUCAUUGAUUGGUAAGUGGUAUUGGAUCUUUUACUUUGAAAAAAUUAGAGUGUUUCAAGCAGGCUUUAUGCUAUGAAUACAUUAGCAUGGAAUAAUAAUUUAGGACUUCGGUUCUAUUUUGUUGGUUUCUAGGACUGAAGUAAUGAUUGAUAGGGAUAGUUGGGGGUGCUAGUAUUCAGCGGCCAGAGGUG